This is a long non-coding RNA of Nematostella vectensis (starlet sea anemone), 3159 nucleotides long. RefSeq lists it as uncharacterized. The transcript has 2 exons. The record is from RefSeq and is a predicted model, not a curated record. NCBI's taxonomy places the organism in Eukaryota, Metazoa, Cnidaria, Anthozoa, Actiniaria, Edwardsiidae.
GACGAAAAUUCUGUUAUGUUUCUCGGGGACUUAUCAAAUACCACCCUUCGAAGGAAGGUUUCAACUGUCGCAAUUUGUAAUAACCGUCGCACUUUGUAAUGCCUGUCGCAAUAUCUAAUAAACCCAUUGCAAUUUGAGAUAAAAAAAAGCCAAUUUGUAAUAAAACACUUUAUUACAUAUUACUAUAGGUAUUACAAAAUGACAUCCGCUAUUUACAUACAACUGCCCCCCCCCCCCCUCCCCCUGGGGGGGCGGUUCUGUUUCUUCAGGAUAAAUGUUAUAGGGAUGCACGAGGAAAAUUCGAAAAAUACCCCUAAAAAUACCUGCACGCUAAAAAUUGCUUCCCUAAAAAAUACAUCAGAACAAAAAUUACCACUAAAAAAUACUAAAACGCAUGUAGGUGUCGAAUGACAAAUUGUCAAUGUGUUUUGUUUAGAAGUUGGAAGUGGUGGCGCUCGCGUAAUUAAUUUGAAUUUCUUUAUGAAAUUCAACAAUUUUUUACCGCGCUGCUAUGCACUCAGUUUAAGCGAGAUUUGUAAAAUUCUUUCAAAUUCUGAAGGGGUAAGCUUCACAGAUUGCAACCGUUUGCUUUUUAGGCAUAGAUGACAAGCCGAUUGCAAAAUUAUCGCAUUGUUAGGCUUAAGGCAUACGUCGAACCGAACAUGUACCUAAUUCAGUCGAACCUAUUGUUUUGGAAAUAGCUACAUUGGAAAGUACAACGUUUGCCGCGAAUCAGUUCAUCGAUUCAAUAUUGAGUCGCCGAGUCGAAUUGAAUCGUGUGUGGGGCCUGGCGGCAUACUUGAACCGAAUAAGAUAAAUAUAUUACGUACAUAAGAAUAUAAUUGAUAUAAUCAAACCUUUGCACAAAAUUUGUAAAAGCACCCUCUCCCCCACAAAAAAUAUCCAGAUCCCCCCUUAGAGCAUGCGCUCUACGUACUUUUCCACAAUAUGGCAAAUUAUCGGAAGUCGGAACCUGUCUACUGACAAAUCGACAAACGCGUUUAAAGCCACAUAACCACCGCACAGAGCACUGACAAAUCGCCACUGACAAAUUAUGUCGACCUGUCUACUGACAAAUCGACAAACGCGUUUAAAGGCAUAUAACCACCGCACAGAGCACUGACAAAUCGUCACUGACAAAUUAUGUCGACCUGUCGACUGACAAAUCGACAAACCCGUUUCACGGCUGAUAACCACCGCAAAGAGCACUGACAAAUCGCCACUGACAAAUUUUGUCGACCUUUUGACUGACAAAUCGACAAACCCGUUUCACGGCUGAUAACCACUGCACAGAGCACUGACAAAUCAACACUGACAAAUUUUUCGACCUGUCGACUGACAAAUCGACAACGGCGGUUGUCGGAGUUUGCAACCUUGUCUAUUUUAUAUACAGAAGGCGACGGGAAAAUUUCGCAGCGGCUAAAACAGCUUAAAAUGGCAAAUAAUGGCGGGUUAUAGUAGCAGCAACGUCAAGCCACUGUUUUAUUUUCAAAUCAGCAUAUUUAUUUCAACGAGAUUUGUUCGCUCAUACAAACUCUGUACGCUCAUACAAACUCUGUAAUAAACCUACUCUUGCGUGAGCCUGGGCUACCUGUCUUCCAUCUGUUCCACUACCAGUAUGAAAAUCCGACACGUCAGAGUCAGACAUCACCACAGUCAAAUAAAUUUGCAUUUGGCUUGUCAUCAUUAUUUUCCCGUGCGAGAUGGAUUCCUAGGAAUUUCCUAAGAUUUCCUAAGUUUGAUCUAAAGGUGUUAACAAAAUAUUAUUAAACUUCUUAAAAAUUCCUAGGAUUUCCUAUUAUAAGCAGUAGACCAGAAAAUCAGUAUAAUUGGGAUUAGGAAAUCUUAGGAAUUCUUAAGAAGAAGAUUUGAAGCAUUCUAAAAUACUUAGGAACUCGUAGGAAAUUCUUAGGAAAUCCUAAACGAACAUUUUUAUCACAAGAACAAACCUCAGCAUACUUUUGUAAGCUAUACUAUAACAAUAAGAAACGUAAUCAAAGACAGGCAUUAGACUCGAAUACGAGUUUUAUGAGGUGUACUUUUUUUCAGAAUUAGUACUACAUUGAAAGGAAAGAUACGAAGGGUGAUAACUGUUUUAAAAUCUUAGAUCUGAUUUAGAAAUAAUAUAUAUUGUUUCUAAUAGAAAUGCUUCUUGAGAUUAUAAGAAAAGAAGUACCGCUUUGCAGAUAGAAGACCGUAAAAUGAAAAUGUACCGGGCAUCCUUUGCUUUAGUGGCCGAGAGGGGCUUGGGCCCAAGGCGCAAAACCAUAACGGUCGAACGAACGCCAUUAUCAUAACCUCCAAACGGAUAGCCGUUUACUCCCGUCUUUUCUACGCGAAAUUCACCUAUUUUAAGGACUUGAUGAGCAGAACAUGGGUUGCAGUGAAAGGACAUUAUGAUAGAGAUAGCAAAAUGUGCCGGAGUUGAAAAGCCAGAAAAGAAAGAAAUUGGAGGUACAAGGAACGUAUCAAUGCGUGAACAGAAAGAAUCGCAUAAAAACUUUUCAAACUGAUACAAAAAUUCACUGCUUACAUAUAAAGUUUCUAUGCUUUAUAAACUGUUGCUUGAAGCACAAAAUUGGCUGACUUAGCUUAGUGAAAACCUAGUAAUCAGUCUUGCACCUAAAAUUUGUCCAGGUAUUUGUUUUGAAUAUCCAAUAUUACUGUAGUUGGUUCUGGUCCGGAUAAGUUUUAUUUUUAAUAUUCUGAUCACAGUAAAACCCUGCAAAUGAAGAACCUAGUUAUCUUUUCAUGCUAACCCACUAGGGUUCGAAUUUAAAUGGUGCAUAUAGGCUUUAGGCUUCUAGCUUCUUAUCUGAAUAUACAAAGUUAUAAACUAUGACUAUACAAAGAUGCCUAUUAUAAUGUAGCUAGAAUCCUUUUUUCCUAUGCCAUUUUGCUUCCAUUUUGUUUUAUACUGAGGCACUGGGGUUGCUUGAAUGAUGUUAGAUUAUUUUAAACAUGAAACUCAUCCAAACCAGACCCACAUAUAUUAGUUGUGCUGGAAUACAAUGGGACUGGUUUUCUAAGUCCAAGAUUUUGCACAAAUAGACAAUAGUCUUGUUUAUGUGAGUUCUAAUGUAUGUUUGUAUUUACAAUUAACCUGCAAGAAAAUGUGAUGCACCUAAACUUUGAAUAAAAAGGAAUGUUUUCAUUUUA